AGACAGAGGGUGCAAACGUUGCUCGGAAUUACUGGGCGUAAAGCGCAUGUAGGCUGAUUUGUAAGUCAGGUGUGAAAGCCCUGGGCUCAACCCAGGAAUUGCAUUUGAAACUGCAUGUCUUGAGUGGUGGAGAGGGAAGCGGAAUUCCUGGUGUAGAGGUGAAAUUCGUAGAUAUCAGGAGGAACACCGGUGGCGAAGGCGGCUUCCUGGACACCUACUGACGCUGAGAUGCGAAAGCGUGGGGAGCAAACAGGAUUAGAAACCCCGGUAGUCC
This 274-nucleotide ribosomal RNA is filed under the name uncultured bacterium. Its description in RNAcentral is "partial 16S ribosomal RNA". It matches the Rfam family "Bacterial small subunit ribosomal RNA", at positions 523 to 796 of the family's 1533-position model. The record is from RNAcentral.